RNAcentral lists this long non-coding RNA (3002 nucleotides) under Zea mays. RNAcentral describes it as "long non-coding RNA (ZMAY_LNC003849)". Lineage: Eukaryota; Viridiplantae; Streptophyta; Magnoliopsida; Poales; Poaceae. The record is from RNAcentral.
UCGGCCUCUUCUGCAGCUGUUCCAGGUGAGCCAGUCCUUCCACCAUUCCUCUCUUUGUUAUCUUGAUUUGGUGUCGUGAUUCAUUUGGUCCUACACGCUUUAGCCCUGCUUUCUAUUCUGUUUGCAUGCAUAGAUGGUUGUUUCCCAUUUCGCUGAGAAGUCUAUCUACAUUAGAAAAGGCAAAUGCCAGAUGUCAGCGACAGCAUAAAAAGAAUACUAACAUUGGAAAGUGGUUUCCAAGGUUGAGUUGUUCUUUAAAAUUUUGGACAAAUGAAAUGUUGCAAAAUAGGUAGUGUUCAAAACGUGACCUCAUUACACAAACGAAUAAAUCCCAUCCACUGGUCCAUUGUUAUCGCCUUGUAGUCAUUUUGGUACUGAAACACAUUUCAAAUAUAGCAUGUCAAUUAAGCACCGAGCCUCAAUGAAGAAAGCAUGAACAAAACCACGGAAGAAAAGUAUAAUCCAUUACCAUGAGGUAAUUAUUAAGCUUGUCAACCUGAGGGUGGAACUGCAAGCCUAAUACUAGAUUCAGCAACUCACAAGCAGCUGGUAUUUCUAUACAUUUCUACUUCCUCUAAGGAAAGAUAAUCAUUGUGAAAAAUCACAGAAAUAGCAGUCAUGUUAAUCAAUUUGCUUUGGAGCGUUAUAAUUUACAAUAGAAACCAACCAUACCUGUGAGGCAAUAACGAAAGCAGCUGGUAUUUCUAUACAUUUCUACUUCCUCUGAGGAAAGAUAAUCAUUGUGAAAAAUCACAGAAAUAGCAGUCAUCUUGAUCACUUUGCUUUGGAGCAUUAUAAUUUACAAUAGAAACCAACCAUACCUGUGAGGCAAUAACGAAAUGCAUAUAUGUAGAAAUCCUGGAAAUUGGAUGGCCUUGAAACCUGGAUUUAUAAACAUAUGAAAGUGGUCAGCAAGGUUACACUUCAACAAAGAAAUAUCAACAAUUAAUGGUAGCUCAUUGUCUAUUACAGUCACAAGGUGACAAUAUAUCAUGAUAUAUCUGUUAGAUGGAAGUUCUUCACUCCAUAAAUUAAAUCUCUGAUAUGCAUGGCUCACUUGAACAUAAGAUAAUAUUUGGGGAGACAGAAUCACCUCCUGGACCAGUUCUGGAAAUGCUUUCUUCAGUUUACUAAUACUGUCAGCUCGAAGAGCUUUCAAGCCAGUUCUCCAUUCAUCCUGAUAACAUAAAAACAUGUAUUAGUCAACACUUGAAAGCAUAGAACAGUUUUUUAGUAUUAGAACUAAAGCAGGUCCUUCAUUGAACACUUGAAUAGCAAUAUGUAAUGCAUUCCAAGGUAAAGCAACCUUGCUUAUCACAGCAUGUGCCUCUUCUGUGGAUCUCGUCAUACGAUUUACUUUAGUAUACCCCUUCAGUCGAAAAAGAUUAUUUCUAUAGCCUUGGAUGAACUCAUGUUUGACAAGUAAUAAGUCAUUUGAUUAAUCACGUAAUAAAUUUUAAUAGUAAACUUGUUUAUAAAACUUAUGAUUGAUUGACAACUGAAAAAACAAGACUAUCUUUCUUUUUUAGACAGUGGAAGCAACUAUUAGACAAGCCAAGUUUAACAGUACAGUACACGUGAAUACUUCGCCCUCAAGUCCUGAACCCACACAGCCAACAAAUACGUGUAGUACUCAUCAGAUAUAUGGCACAGGAGAUGACGAUGUUGCUGGUUCCGCAGACGUUGAUGCUGAGUAACGGUAUGUCCAAUUCUCCCCUACAACUUCAUGAGAUAUAUGCUUCCAAGUGUUCCAAUUGCAUGUAGUAUAAGGCAGUGGGUACUAGGCAACCCUAAACCCCAAUUUGCUUAAUGAUAUGCCUCCAAUCUCCAAGGGUUCCUGCACUUUAUUAAGGAGACUGAGUGCCAUCGUGCUAUAACCCAAAACCCAAAACGAAAGACAAAAAAGAAAGGAACAAUACAUUGAGAUUCGAUAAUCAUAAUUUCUUUUCUGGUGCAAAAAGAAUGUAACAUUACAGCCUUUCAAUUCAGAUAAACAACAGAAACAUUCCAAGCACAGAUUAAUAGUGCUCCCCCAAAGAAGUCACACAGAUUGAUAACUAUUUUAAGGUCAGAUGCAAUUUCUUGAUAAAUCAACUGAGAAGGUAAAAAGAGAGUUCUCUUAUUUUGUACAAUAGUUGCUCAUAACCCAAGACUCCAAGAGAUCUUGGAUGCAGCAGUAGCUACAUAGCUUGCCUUAAGCAGCUACAUUGUUCCAGGACAAAAGAAAAACAUUUGCACCAAGAGUUGCAAUACAAGACCAUGAAAGAAAUGGUAAUGGAGAAAAGAUUAUGUUACUUUGCAAACAACAUUUAAUCAUAUUUUGUAGAAAAAGAGCGAUUGACAAAAACAAGUACCUCUGGAUUUCAACGCUACGUAGCUUGCCUUAAGCAGCUACAUCAUUCCAGGACAAAAGAAAAACAUUUGCACCAAGAGUUGCAAUACAAUACCAUGAAAGAAAUGGUAAUGGAGAAGAGAUUAAGUUACUUUGCAAACAACAUUUAAUCAUAUUUUGUAGAAAAAGAGCGAUUGACACAAACAAGUACCACUGGAUUUCAACGCGUCAAUUAGUUGUUGCCUCAUGUUAUAUUUGAGAUUGCAAUGCUUGCCAAAACUUGUUAAUUGAUUGCUACCUUUUUUUUAGUUGCAGUGCUUUUGGACACGAGCACCACCAGCUAUGGAGGCCCGCUUUUGGAAACUGAGGAUCGCUUUUGGGAACUAUCCCAGUUCAUCUAGGUUGCUGUUAGAACUUCCCCCCUACUGUGUAGGGCGUAUGGUUUUAUGCUUGUAAGAUAUGGACAGCGCUAUGCUGUGUGCUUGACUGCAAGAUAUGCCUUUUGUUGCUUGGUCAUAGCUAUGCUAUGCAUGCAAUCCUGCGAGGACCAUACUCGCGAUGUGUAAAGCAUGCCUAUAUAGUCUAGGCCUGACCAAAUAAGAAACGUUGCUUCCUUUGGUGCUUCUACUAUUUCUCUUUGUCGUUCUGUGCUACUACCAGCCAUGUAUUU